RNAcentral lists this long non-coding RNA (2024 nucleotides) under Centruroides sculpturatus (bark scorpion). RNAcentral describes it as "uncharacterized LOC111621627, transcript variant X3". Lineage: Eukaryota; Metazoa; Arthropoda; Arachnida; Scorpiones; Buthidae. The record is from RNAcentral.
AUUUCAUGGAACUGCUUUUAUAAAAGAAGAAAAUUCCGUGUUUUAGGUCAUGAAACAAGUCUGAGAGUGAAGGAAUCGUAGAGUGAACUGACAAAUCCAGUGUCGGAACUGAAUUACUGCAAUGCCGUAGGUGAAUUAAAUCUGAUGCGGAAUCGAAACCUUCUUCUUCAUCUUCAUUUUCAGCAACGGUAGAAAGUCCAGUAGAACCUUUACCCGAUCUUCGACCAAUAGAAGAACUGUGUUUUACAGUCGAAGCCAAUCUUUCGCAUUUGGGCAUCCAAAUAUGUACCGCGAUCCACGUCUGCGAUAGCAACCACAAGAGCCACAUCCAAGCGUAUUGAUUUGAAACAAAAUCUUGAAAAAAGUCACCCUGUGGACAUGUCCAGAAGAGAUAUUUUGGGAAGACUUCAUCAAAGAAACAAUAAUCUUCCAUCCGAAAUCCACAAGAAGCAAUCAGCAACGAUAUAGAAACAGGGAGAUAUUCCAAGCAUUUUCCAACAUCCUAGCUAUGAAAGAACAUCAUCAAAAACUAAAAAUAGGAUACUAUAAGGGCCAUCUGACCAAGCCCCCACACAGAGAACCAGAGAGCUUCAGAAUUUGGUCGUUUAUAUGGUAAAGGAGUAGAUUGAUGGCAUAAGGCAACGAACGUAUAGGCGAUCAGAUAAGUGGAAAAGAUUUUUCGUGUGAAACUGACUCUGAUUUACGUGUUGGACAUGUGAAUAAACCCGGUAAACUCCACGCUGCCUGUCCUGUUACCAGUGUUCAGGCAUCCACUAAGUCACUGGUGGGUCUUUUAUGUAGAAGAACACGAGUCUGAAAAAUCUGUUUUGUUGAUUUCAAUGAUAUAUUUUUAUAGCUUUCCGAGAGAGAUGAGACAUCAUACUUUUGACAGGCCUUAUCUCACUUCUCUCAGGCCAUGAAUGUUUUCAUCGAGAUAAACAAAUCCCUGCAAAAAUUUUAAAGCUUUUAGGUCAUUCUUUCUUUUUCGUAAGAUGUUCUUUACGAUUACUUCCAAUUAACAUUCAAUUUUUAUAACAAAAUUCAUGCAAUUUUUUUUAAUAUAAAUCGUUUAGUACAUAAUAUUUUCUGACAUUCUUCAUAUUAAAUUCAAGAGGCUUUUUUUCCGCUAAAAAAAAAAAAAAAAAGGUUACGUGGUAUUAGUGAUGCAUUAUUGAAACCUGUUUCCUAACUCAUUUAAAUAUUUAUCACAAAAAUAAUUAUCUAAUUAUAUAUUUUCAGUUUUACCGGUUAUUUAACUUAAUUUUUAAUUUAAAUAUUCAAUAUGACCAAAAAAUAAAAAGAACAGAUAUAUUUAAUUCACUUCUAAUAAAGAGGUAUUCAUUGUUUAUAUGUUGUUAGAGGCCCAUAUAGGUAGAAGAUGAUGGAUUUAACACAUAUUCUACUUUUAAUGGUGUAAAGGCAAUGCCUAGAGCAGAUGACAAGUUAAUUAUAAUUCGAAAGAAAUAAGUUUAAUAGCUAUAAAUGGGCGCCAUUUUGUUUCUUUGAGAUAAAAUAUAAUGAUUUAUGAUGCCAUUAAACCUCGAUUAUAAGUAAAAAUCUUGUUUCGAGAGUACUCCAUAUUGCAAACUCGGAAAGAAAAGUUUAACAAGCUCUUUUGUCCUUGAUUACAGACACAGAGAGAUCUCAAAAUUAUUUUUAUGCAAAGUAUUCAUGGAUAUAAAUUAAAUUUUCCUUUGAUAAUAUAUAAAAAUAUUAAUUAUAUAAUUUCAGAAAAGGGUUAGAACACAUGUUUGUGACUGGGUUGACUCAUCUCAUCUCUCUCAUGCCCUGUGAUAUUUAUAUUCACGUGAAACGACCUCAUUUUUUAUAUAUAUACAUCAUGUUUACGUAUAUGUAAGUAUCAGAAAAACUAGAUAGAUGCAACCUAAAUAAUUAAUCAAAGCGUUAAUACAUGAUACAUAUCUUAAUGAGAUAACAAAAGAAUAUAAAUUAAUUAAAUGUAAGAUUGAAUAUACUUAAGAGGAAGAGCCGAACAGAUUGAAUAUUAAAAUGUAUAUAUAUUC